CCUACGGGUGGCAGCAGUGGGGAAUAUUGAACAAUGGGCGCAAGCCUGAUGCAGCCAUGCCGCGUGUGUGAAGAAGGCCUUCGGGUUGUAAAGCACUUUCAGCGGGGAGGAAGGCGGUGAGGUUAAUAACCUCAUCGAUUGACGUUACCCGCAGAAGAAGCACCGGCUAACUCCGUGCCAGCAGCCGCGGUAAUACGGAGGGUGCAAGCGUUAAUCGGAAUUACUGGGCGUAAAGCGCACGCAGGCGGUCUGUCAAGUCGGAUGUGAAAUCCCCGGGCUCAACCUGGGAACUGCAUUCGAAACUGGCAGGCUAGAGUCUUGUAGAGGGGGGUAGAAUUCCAGGUGUAGCGGUGAAAUGCGUAGAGAUCUGGAGGAAUACCGGUGGCGAAGGCGGCCCCCUGGACAAAGACUGACGCUCAGGUGCGAAAGCGUGGGGAGCAAACAGGAUUAGAUACCCGGGUAGUC
RNAcentral lists this ribosomal RNA (465 nucleotides) under uncultured Klebsiella sp. RNAcentral's name for it is "bacterial SSU rRNA". It matches the Rfam family "Bacterial small subunit ribosomal RNA", at positions 338 to 795 of the family's 1533-position model. Lineage: Bacteria; Pseudomonadati; Pseudomonadota; Gammaproteobacteria; Enterobacterales; Enterobacteriaceae. The record is from RNAcentral.